CAAAAGGCUUUAUUCAAAGCCAUGUAUGGCCACAAAAUAAUGGGG
Monodelphis domestica (gray short-tailed opossum) is the source of this 45-nucleotide non-coding RNA. Lineage: Eukaryota; Metazoa; Chordata; Mammalia; Didelphimorphia; Didelphidae. The record is from Rfam.